GGACUAUUCCUUACCUGGUUUUGAAUGGGUCUAACUGAAUCCAAGAAGAGUCCUCUUGAUGAGCACUGAGGAAUAGAGAGCAAAGAGAAAACUGGAGCUGUGGUUCUUUACCCCAGCCCGAGUACAAAACUGGUGUACAAAUAUCACAAAGAGUGGGAAAAAGAAUGAAUGCUGCCUGCUUACGUCUCAAGGGUGGUAGAAGCCUGGUAGAAGGGGACAAGAGAGUACCUCAGGGAGCUGGCUGGCAAAAAGAGCAAGGAAUUAUCUGAAACAGGAAUGUG
This is a long non-coding RNA of Cebus imitator (Panamanian white-faced capuchin), 281 nucleotides long. RefSeq lists it as uncharacterized. Lineage: Eukaryota; Metazoa; Chordata; Mammalia; Primates; Cebidae. The record is from RefSeq and is a predicted model, not a curated record. The transcript has 3 exons.